This 195-nucleotide unclassified non-coding RNA is filed under the name uncultured Clavulinopsis. RNAcentral's name for it is "sequence contains ITS2". The record is from RNAcentral. Lineage: Eukaryota; Fungi; Basidiomycota; Agaricomycetes; Agaricales; Clavariaceae.
UUAUUCUCAACUUUCAAAGUUUGUUGCAUUCUUUGAAAGCUUUGGAUUAUUGGAGGAAUAUUGCUGGCAAAUCUAUGCUGGCUCCUCUUAAAUACAUUAGCGGAACUGUCAAGGGAAUUUGGCUCUGGUUUGAUAAGUCUAUACCAUUGCUGAGAGCUUUUCAUAGUUCAGCUUCUUUAAUCUCAUAUUUUUGAA